Molecule: long non-coding RNA, 264 nt
Organism: Lytechinus pictus (painted urchin)
Lineage: Eukaryota; Metazoa; Echinodermata; Echinoidea; Temnopleuroida; Toxopneustidae
Exons: 3
Source: RefSeq, a predicted model, not a curated record
CGGCUCGAUAUAUUUGGUGGCGGGUUCGGAUAUAUGUUGAUUGGAUUUAAUUCCCUUGGCUGAAAUCCAUGAAGGCACGGGAUCUACAGAGCAACUGUAUUGGUGCAGUGAGGACAAGACAUCUCAGAACCAACAUACAGCUGACAGCAGCCCUUCAAGAAGUACUUUAAGACUCUGAUAUGGGAUUCACCAUUACCACAGCUUCAGAUUCGAGUCAUCGGAACGUGGCAUUUUUCAGACUGGAACAUGAAAAAAGCAAACAAU